Molecule: transfer RNA, 73 nt
Filed under: Saccharomonospora viridis
Lineage: Bacteria; Bacillati; Actinomycetota; Actinomycetes; Pseudonocardiales; Pseudonocardiaceae
Also listed under: 1 other name
Description: tRNA-Phe
Rfam family: tRNA
About the family: Transfer RNA (tRNA) molecules are approximately 80 nucleotides in length. Their secondary structure includes four short double-helical elements and three loops (D, anti-codon, and T loops).
Source: RNAcentral
GGCCAGGUAGCUCAGUUGGUAGAGCGUCCGCCUGAAAAGCGGAAGGUCGCCGGUUCGACCCCGGCCCUGGCCA